Molecule: microRNA, 23 nt
Filed under: Populus tomentosa
Lineage: Eukaryota; Viridiplantae; Streptophyta; Magnoliopsida; Malpighiales; Salicaceae
Description: Pto-N8
Source: RNAcentral
GGCCCUUGGCAGCGCUCUGACUA